Long non-coding RNA from Triticum aestivum (bread wheat), 4575 nucleotides. RefSeq lists it as uncharacterized. The record is from RefSeq and is a predicted model, not a curated record. Lineage: Eukaryota; Viridiplantae; Streptophyta; Magnoliopsida; Poales; Poaceae. The transcript has 2 exons.
ACCAUUGAUCCCCUUCGGGCCUAGCCACAUCUCCCUCUCUUUCCCCUGCCUCCUUCUCCAGCACAGGCCGCCGCCACGGCUAGGCCGGCGUGGGGCGCGCCACCACCUCCACUUCGCCGCCGCACCUCCGCACUCCAUCCAUCCAUUCGCUGCACCGUGACCCAUCCACCAUAACUACCACGGGUCCCUUGCUGCACCUCACGCCACCAAUCUGAAUCUCUACUUCCUUCUUGAUGCUGUUCAUCCCAAUCUCGCCGCUGUUCAUCUUUGCUACUGCCCGCAGCUCUCUUCGUCUCUCUCAAACUUGUUGAUGUCGAUGCCCUCAACCUCCUGCUGCUGCUCUCUCCUUGCGCCCUUGCUGUUGCCCCUUUUACCCCUACCUCGCUGCUGCUGCUCCUUCUCUCUACGCCCCUGCUGCUGCUUCUUUCCCAAUCUUGCAACUGCCCUUCUGCAUCUCCAACUUGCUGCUGCUCCUCUGAACCUCUUCUCCUCCUAGUGUUGCUUCUAUCUUGCCGCUUCCCUGUAGCGGUUCCUUUCCUUCACCCGCUGCUCUCUUUGUGUGUGUGUGUGAGAUUGUGUAUGUUUGUACUUCAUAAGUAUUGAUAGUGUGUAAUGAAGAGAUAUGUUAAUUCUAGGGACAUGUAGUUGUUCUUAUAAUUUUGUUGAUCAGUGAGAAUUGGUACUGAUGCUUAUGACCUUCUAUUUCUAUGUAUGAGAUCUAGCCAAACCUGUCAUUUAUAUAUUGUACUUGCUGAAUAGUGUUCAGUUUUCAGUCCCUGUUUUAGCUCUAGUACCCGUGACAUAUAUGUUCAUGAUAUAUGUUUCAUGUGGUUUCGUAUUGCUGUUAUGUUGAUCAUUUUAGUGCUAGUACUGUGUCUUGUGUAAUCCAAACCAUAUAUGAUUUGUGUGUGUGACUAAUUGUCAGCUAGUAGCUUUUAAUAAUUCAUAUUGUUUCUUGUGAAUUUUCUAUCGAUGUUACUCUCUGUAGAAGUGAGAUGUAUGAACAUUUAAUUUCCUGUCUCCGUGUUAACGAUGUUUGUGUGAAUAAAUAUAUAUGUUUGUGUUGUGAUAUAUUUCUGUCCCUUUCACAGUAUUGUUCCUUCCCUUUUGUUACAUGUAUGAUAGUAAUAUAUGUGUUCAUGUCUUGUUGCUUCCCUCUAUGUUAGUGUUUUAGCGUCUCAAUUAAAACAAAAAUACCAAAAAUAAGUGAAGUGAAAUCUGAACCUCCCUCUGCUAUUUUGCAUUUUCUUUUGUCAACGAUCUUCCGGAACAACCUUGUUAGUUUAGAUUUUAUUUUCUUGCAAUCAUCUUCUGAAUUGUCACCUAGCUUUAGUCGAGUGCCGUCGCUGUUUGCCUAGUCCCUGUGGAGAACACGACAUUCGUAGUUUGGGGCGUAAAACCCCCGCUAUAUUACAAUUGAUCAUUUUGGCGCCGUUGUCGGGACUAGCGUCGAGCGAUUGUGCUAGGCUAUAGACUAGGUUUUUCUUGUUUUCAUCUUGUGCCAUAUAUUUGUGAUAUAUCUCUAGCCACUAACCCCUGUUCUAGUUAUUAUCUUUUUGUCUUCUUUUCCUUUUUGCAGGUUGGAUUAUCCUCUCGGAAAUGGCAUUCUAUUCAGAUCAUCAUGCUUAUGCGAGCAACACUACAAACAACACAGAAAGUAUUCAAGAACUGAUAAGUAAGAUUUCCCAUCAAUUAGAUGAUUUAGCUCGGCAGCGAGAGGUAGUUUUUGAGGAUAGGCCUAGCUCUUAUGCUCCUUAUUCUAGAGGUAAUCCUUAUGUUGCUCCUACAUGCCAUAUUUGUGGAUCUCAGGGCCAUUCACCCGCUGAAUGUCAGCGUGGUUACUCUCACCCUCCCGAUUGUUAUGGCAUGAGCUUCGCCCCACAGCCUAGCUCAUACCAAAACAAUUACACACAUGGGUGGCCUGAAAACCAGAAUAUGUCAUAUAGGAGCAAUAACCCUGAGAUCUCAUCGUUUGCCUCUAGUUAUCCAAUGCAGGGAUUUAGGUAUGAAGAGGAGAGCCACAACUAUGCUCCACAACAGAUUUAUUCAGCUCCUACUCAUAUACCUCAACAUCAGGACAUGUUGCCAAUGGAGUUAAAUGGUCCUCCAUUUGGUCAACCAACAUCUUCAACACAAGUGCCCACACAAGAUGACUUUGAUGAUAUAGACAAGCUCACAUUGCUUGGUCUCGAGUUCACUUCGAGUGCCGAAGAUGAUCCAAUUAGGCCGGUGAUACUAGAGGAAAUGAAGAAGAUUAAGAGUGGAAAGGAGCUAGUGGAAGAAGUAAGGAAGAUUGAGAAGAACAUCAACGCUGUCAGUACUAUCUCUUCCCUCCUUGAGCUGAGUGUUGCCGGGAUAUCCCUUGAGGUGUGUGAGGUUCCAACACCUUCACAUUUAGCUGAGCAAGAUAGCGAGAGUCCAUAGGAAGAGAUACUUCAGAUCCAAGAAGAAAUUCUCGAAGCCAAAGCACAAGAUGAUCCAGAGCUCGAAUAACAAAGUGAUCAAGUUGAAGACUCAUCAUCUAUUACUCUUGAAGAAGCAAAAGAAGUUGAUGUGAUUGAAGAUGAAGAACCAGAAACGCAUUUUCCCAUCGUCAUACAGGAGCGUGAUUUAGCAGGUUUAUCCAAUCCUCUUGAUGACAUGCUUCCUUAUGAGAUCUUUGCCGCUACUUUACAUUGUGUUAUACCAUCAAUUAAGCUAGACUUGAAAAAUUAUUUGCUUGGACAUGAUCAUACAUACAUUGUUGGUGGCAUUGCUCUCAUUCCUGAUGAUGACACUUAUUUUCCUUAUGCUAGUCCUAUGCUUAAUGAAACAUAUUAUUCCCACGCUAGUCUUGAGCUUAAUGAUAAAUUUCAUCCUCAUGUUAGUGUCGACCUUGCUGAUUUCUACCAUCCUAAACAUGUGCUUUAUAGCUAUGCUUAUGUAAUUGGAUAUUCGAUUGAUGACUUGGAGGGUAUUAUCCCUACCACUUGCAUUGUCUCUUUUGUUGAGAGUGCUUUCAGGUUUUUGCUUGUGCACGAUCCAUUACAUGUUGACCAGGUUCGAGGUGACAUUCCUUGGGACCCUGGUGGACUCAGAGCAUGGGGAUGAGGAGAAGCAAGGGGGCACACACGAGGAAUGGAGAAGCUGGAGCAGGCAUGAGGAUAGGGAAGCAAAAGGAGAGGAGUCACAAUGCAUGAGGAAGCAAAGGAGAAGAGUUGUAGUUUAGAGAGUGUCGAGCGAGUGCUACUUCCUAUAAAAACCCGAAAAGGGUGAAAAGGCCCAAAAUCCUUCUAUAAUGGAGAGAGUGUCAAGAAACUGUGGUUGCUCUAAUUCACGGAGGGACCCGGCCGUGAAGAAAAGAAGUAACCAUAGGGGCCAAGCUAAAGUUGGAGGGAUCAUCUUGUGAAGAAAGAAGAGAAGUGGAAGGGCAAAAGAGCAAAAGUGGCAGAUCAGAGGAGGAGGAUCAAAUCCCUAGCGGCAACCAUCGAUCCCCUUCGGGCCUGGCCACAUCUCCUUCUCUUUCCCCUGCCUCCUUCUCCAGCACAGGCCGCCGCCACGGCCAGGCUGGCGUGGGGCGCGCCACCAGCUCCACUUCGCCGCCGCACCUCCGCACUCCAUCCAUCCAUUCGCUGCACCGUGACCCAUCCACCAUAACUACCACGAGUCCCUUGCUGCACCUCACGCCACCAAUCUGAAUCUCUUCUUCCUUCUUGCUGCUGUUCAUCCCAAUCUCGCCGCUGUUCAUCUUUGCUACUGCCCGCAGCUCUCUUCGUCUCUCUCAAACUUGUUGAUGUCGAUGCCCUCAACCUCCUGCUGCUCCUCUCUCCUUGCGCCCCUGCUGUUGCCCCUUCUACCCCUACCUUGCUGCUGCUCUGCUUCUUUUCCAUCCCCACGUUGCUGCUGCUCCUUCUCUCUAUGCCCAUGCUGCUGCUUCUUUCCCAAUCUUGCAAUUGCCCUUCUGCAUCUCCAACUUGCUGCUGCUCCUCUGAACCUCUUCUCCUCCUAGUGUUGCUUCUAUCUUGCCGCUUCCCUGUAGCGGUUCCUUUCCUUCACCCGCUGCUCUCUUUGUGUGUGUGUGUGUGUUCGUGUGUGUGAGAUUGUGUGUGUUUGUACUUCAUAAGUAUUGAUAGUGUGUAAUGAAGAGAUGUGUUAAUUCCAGGGACAUGUAGUUGUUCUUAUAAUUUUGUUGAUCAGUGAGAAUUGGUAUUGUUGCUUAUGACCUUCUAUUUCUAUGUAUGAGAUCUAGCCAAACCUGUCAUUUAUAUAUUGUACUUGCUGAAUAGAGUUUAGUUUUCAGUACCUGUUUUAGCUCUAGUACUCGUGACAUAUAUGUUCGUGAUAUAUGUUUCAUGUGGUUUCGUAUUGCUGUUAUGUUGAUCAUUUUAGUGCUAGUACUGUGUCUUGUGUAAUCCAAACCAUAUAUGAUUUGUGUGUGUGACUAAUUGUCAGCUAGUAGAUUUUAAUAAUUCAUAUUGUUUCUUGUGAAUUUUCUAUCGAUGUUACUCUCUGUAGAAGUGAGAUGUAUGAACAUUUAAUUUCCAGUCUCCGUGUUAACGAUGUUUGUGUGAAUAAAUAUAUAUGUUUGUGUUGUGA